RNAcentral lists this ribosomal RNA (978 nucleotides) under uncultured bacterium. RNAcentral describes it as "bacterial SSU rRNA". It matches the Rfam family "Bacterial small subunit ribosomal RNA", at positions 8 to 963 of the family's 1533-position model. The record is from RNAcentral.
AGAGUUUGAUCAUGGCUCAGAACGAACGCUGGCGGCGUGGAUAAGACAUGCAAGUCGAGCGCUGAUCACAGGGUAGCAAUAUUCUGUGGUCGGAGCGGCGCAAGGGUGCGUAACACGUGGGUAAUCUGCCAUGAAGUUUGGAAUAACUUGCUGAAAGGCGAGCUAAUACCGGAUGUGACGAUUGGGAGGCAUCUCCUGAUCUUCAAAGCUGGGGACCGUAAGGCCUGGCGCUUCAUGAUGAGCCCGCGGCCUAUCAGCUAGUUGGUGAGGUAACGGCUCACCAAGGCUAAGACGGGUAGCUGGUCUGAGAGGACGACCAGCCACACUGGAACUGAGACACGGUCCAGACACCUACGGGUGGCAGCAGUCGAGAAUUUUUCACAAUGGGCGCAAGCCUGAUGGAGCGACGCCGCGUGGGGGAUGAAUGGCUUCGGCCCGUAAACCCCUGUCAUUUGCGAACAAUUCGGUUCAAUUAACACCUGAACCGUUGAUAGUAGCGAAAGAGGAAGGGACGGCUAACUCUGUGCCAGCAGCCGCGGUAAUACAGAGGUCCCAAGCGUUGUUCGGAUUCACUGGGCGUAAAGGGUGCGUAGGUGGUGAGGUAAGUCGGAUGUGAAAGCUCGGAGCUCAACUCCGAAAUGGCAUUGGAAACUACCUUGCUCGAGGGUUGGAGGGGGGACUGGAAUGCUUGGUGUAGCAGUGAAAUGCGUAGAUAUCAAGCGGAACACCAGUGGCGAAGGCGAGUCCCUGGACAACUCCUGACACUGAGGCACGAAAGCUAGGGGAGCAAACAGGAUUAGAUACCCUGGUAGUCCUAGCCGUAAACGGUGCACGUUUGCUGUAAAAGGAAUCGACCCCUUUUGUGGCGUAGCCAACGCGUUAAACGUGCCGCCUGGGAAGUACGGUCGCAGAUUAAACUCAAAGAAAUUGACGGGGCCUGCACAAGCGGUGGAGUAUGUGGCUCAUUCGAUGCACGCG